RNAcentral lists this unclassified non-coding RNA (366 nucleotides) under Athalia rosae (coleseed sawfly). Its description in RNAcentral is "misc RNA ENSAEAG00005002931.1". The record is from RNAcentral. Lineage: Eukaryota; Metazoa; Arthropoda; Insecta; Hymenoptera; Athaliidae.
UCAUGAACUGUGAUCGCAUCUGUCACAAAAUUUUUUUACAAGGAACAUCUAUUGAGAUUAUCAAAUAGUAGUUGUGCAAUUCUUCCCUGAGACUAAAGAUGAGCAAGUAUACGUUGAACAAUGGUCUGUCCAAUUUAAUGGGAACCCAAAAAAUGAGGUGCCCAUUGAGUUCAUGGCUUCUACGGAAUACCCUAAACUCAGUUUUGGUGGCAACAAUAAAGUUGAAUUCCCCACUGUACACCCAGGAUGCGAAGAGAUUGCCCCAGUAACUAUGCGGAAUAUUACAAGACAUUGCAUCAGAUACACAUUCUCCGAUAUUCCCUCUUCAUUAAAUGUGAAUCAAUCACGUGGAAUCAUUCAGGCUAA